GGCCUAACACAUGCAAGUCGAGGGGUAGGGUUAGCUUGCUAACCUGAGACCGGCGCACGGGUGCGUAACGCGUAUGCAAUCUACCUUGUACAGAGGGAUAGCCCAGAGAAAUUUGGAUUAAUACCUCAUAGUAUUAUCGAAUGGCAUCAUUUGAUUAUUAAAGUUCCAACGGUACAAGAUGAGCAUGCGUCCCAUUAGUUAGUUGGUAAGGUAACGGCUUACCAAGACGAUGAUGGGUAGGGGUCCUGAGAGGGAGAUCCCCCACACUGGUACUGAGACACGGACCAGACUCCUACGGGAGGCAGCAGUGAGGAAUAUUGGACAAUGGGCGCAACCUGAUCCAGCCAUGCCGCGUGCAGGAUGAAGCAUCUAUGGUGUGUAAACUGCUUUUAUACAGGAAGAAACCCUACCACGUGUGGUAGAUUGACGGUACUGUAGGAAUAAGGAUCGGCUAACUCCGUGCCAGCAGCCGCGGUAAUACGGAGGAUCCAAGCGUUAUCCGGAAUCAUUGGGUUUAAAGGGUCCGUAGGCGGUUUUGUAAGUCAGUGGUGAAAUCUGGUCGCUUAACGAUCAAACGGCCAUUGAUACUGCAAGACUUGAAUUAUUGGGAAGUAACUAGAAUAUGUAGUGUAGCGGUGAAAUGCUUAGAUAUUACAUGGAAUACCAAUUGCGAAGGCAGGUUACUAUCAAUAUAUUGACGCUGAUGGACGAAAGCGUGGGGAGCGAACAGGAUUAGAUACCCUGGUAGUCCACGCCGUAAACGAUGGAUACUAGCUGUUGGGCGCAACUCAGUGGCUAAGCGAAAGUGAUAAGUAUCCCACCUGGGGAAUACGAACGCAGUUUGAAACUCAAAGGAUUGACGGGGGCCCGCACAAGCGGUGGAGCAUGUUGUUUAAUUCGAUGAUACGCGAGGUACCUUACCAGGGCUUAAAUGUAGUGUGAAAGAAUUGGAAACAGAUUUUUCUUCGGACACAUUACAAGGUGCUGCAUG
Molecule: ribosomal RNA, 991 nt
Filed under: Flavobacterium sp. PJ711
Lineage: Bacteria; Pseudomonadati; Bacteroidota; Flavobacteriia; Flavobacteriales; Flavobacteriaceae
Description: bacterial SSU rRNA
Rfam family: Bacterial small subunit ribosomal RNA
Source: RNAcentral